GGGGGCCUUCCGGGAGACAGUGGAGCCGGAGGGCGGCGCGCCGUCGACCUUGUUGAGCAGCGGGUCGGUCUCGACGAGCUGGUCCUUCUUGAAGAUGAAGCCGAAGAUGAAGUCGGCGAGGCUCUUCUCCUCCUCCGCCGGCGCCGGCUUCCCCCUCGUGGCGCCGACCGCCAUCGCCACCCGCGACGGCCGCCUCCGCCCAGCCGACGACGACGACGCCGACGGCGCCACGCCCGCCGCCGCCACUCUGCUCCCGAAUCCCACCGAAGCCAUGAUUCUUAGCUCAGCUCUAGC
RNAcentral lists this unclassified non-coding RNA (294 nucleotides) under Hevea brasiliensis (rubber tree). Lineage: Eukaryota; Viridiplantae; Streptophyta; Magnoliopsida; Malpighiales; Euphorbiaceae. The record is from RNAcentral.